Molecule: ribosomal RNA, 202 nt
Filed under: uncultured Escherichia sp.
Lineage: Bacteria; Pseudomonadati; Pseudomonadota; Gammaproteobacteria; Enterobacterales; Enterobacteriaceae
Description: partial 16S ribosomal RNA
Rfam family: Bacterial small subunit ribosomal RNA
Source: RNAcentral
ACUCCUACGGGAGGCAGCAGUGGGGAAUAUUGCACAAUGGGCGCAAGCCUGAUGCAGCCAUGCCGCGUGUAUGAAGAAGGCCUUCGGGUUGUAAAGUACUUUCAGCGGGGAGGAAGGGAGUAAAGUUAAUACCUUUGCUCAUUGACGUUACCCGCAGAAGAAGCACCGGCUAACUCCGUGCCAGCAGCCGCGGUAAUACGGA